UACGUAGGGUGCAAGCGUUGUCCGGAAUUAUUGGGCGUAAAGAGCUCGUAGGCGGUCUGUCGCGUCUGCUGUGAAAACUCGGGGCUUAACCCCGGGCCUGCAGUGGGUACGGGCAGACUAGAGUGCGGUAGGGGAGACUGGAAUUCCUGGUGUAGCGGUGAAAUGCGCAGAUAUCAGGAGGAACACCGGUGGCGAAGGCGGUUCUCUGGGCAUGAUCUGACGCUGAGGAGCGAAAGUGUGGGGAGCGAACAGG
Molecule: ribosomal RNA, 253 nt
Filed under: uncultured bacterium
Lineage: Bacteria
Description: partial 16S ribosomal RNA
Rfam family: Bacterial small subunit ribosomal RNA
Source: RNAcentral